This 733-nucleotide ribosomal RNA is filed under the name Salmonella enterica subsp. enterica serovar Typhimurium. Its description in RNAcentral is "partial 23S ribosomal RNA". It matches the Rfam family "Bacterial large subunit ribosomal RNA", at positions 593 to 1325 of the family's 2925-position model. The record is from RNAcentral. Lineage: Bacteria; Pseudomonadati; Pseudomonadota; Gammaproteobacteria; Enterobacterales; Enterobacteriaceae.
GUGACUGCGUACCUUUUGUAUAAUGGGUCAGCGACUUAUAUUCUGUAGCAAGGUUAACCGUAUAGGGGAGCCGGAGGGAAACCGAGUCUUAAUUGGGCGUUAAGUUGCAGGGUAUAGACCCGAAACCCGGUGAUCUAGCCAUGGGCAGGUUGAAGGUUGGGUAACACUAACUGGAGGACCGAACCGACUAAUGUUGAAAAAUUAGCGGAUGACCUGUGGCUGGGGGUGAAAGGCCAAUCAAACCGGGAGAUAGCUGGUUCUCCCCGAAAGCUAUUUAGGUAGCGCCUCGUGAAUUCAUCUCCGGGGGUAGAGCACUGUUUCGGCUAGGGGGCCAUCCCGGCUUACCAACCCGAUGCAAACUGCGAAUACCGGAGAAUGUUAUCACGGGAGACACACGGCGGGUGCUAACGUCCGUCGUGAAGAGGGAAACAACCCAGACCGCCAGCUAAGGUCCCAAAGUCAUGGUUAAGUGGGAAACGAUGUGGGAAGGCCCAGACAGCCAGGAUGUUGGCUUAGAAGCAGCCAUCAUUUAAAGAAAGCGUAAUAGCUCACUGGUCGAGUCGGCCUGCGCGGAAGAUGUAACGGGGCUAAACCAUGCACCGAAGCUGCGGCAGCGACGCUGAUGCGUUGUUGGGUAGGGGAGCGUUCUGUAAGCCUGCGAAGGUGACCUGUGAGGGUUGCUGGAGGUAUCAGAAGUGCGAAUGCUGACAUAAGUAACGAUAAAGCGGGUGAA